Molecule: ribosomal RNA, 254 nt
Filed under: uncultured bacterium
Lineage: Bacteria
Description: partial 16S ribosomal RNA
Rfam family: Bacterial small subunit ribosomal RNA
Source: RNAcentral
UACGGGGGGAGCAAGCGUUGUUCGGAUUUACUGGGCGUAAAGGGCGCGUAGGCGGUCAGCACAAGUCAGUUGUGAAAUCUCCGGGCUUAACUCGGAAAGGUCAACUGAUACUGUGCGACUAGAGUGCGGAAGGGGCAACUGGAAUUCUCGGUGUAGCGGUGAAAUGCGUAGAUAUCGAGAGGAACACCUGCGGCGAAGGCGGGUUGCUGGGCCGACACUGACGCUGAUGCGCGAAAGCCAGGGGAGCAAACGGG